CAGUAGAAAGUGCUAACUAACGGGGAAU
RNAcentral lists this non-coding RNA (28 nucleotides) under Mus musculus (house mouse). Lineage: Eukaryota; Metazoa; Chordata; Mammalia; Rodentia; Muridae. The record is from RNAcentral.